AAGAAAUUAAAAAAUCAAUAAUUAAUAUCGCCUUACUAUAGCAUAUUUUAAUUACACGCUCGAAGUGAAAUGAAAAGAAUCGUUACGGUCUGUAAUAUGAAAAGGAUGAAUUAUCGAUGAUACGAGUAAAUCCGACAAAUAGUUCUCUCAUAGGAACUGUACGAAGCGAACGCCCAUAGGAACGUAGAACAAGUUCAUAAAACAUUUAAAAUGUCCCAUUCCGUGGAACAUUAAGGCGUUAAUAAUAUGAGCUAGAAGGAGAUGGCAGGAAGGAGGAUGGAGUACAUUUAUUCGUUAUGUACGGUCGCGAACGUGGUAACCCUAGAGGCUGCUGGAGUCUGUUAACCGAGGAAGCCUUUGAAUCUUGAUAAGAGCAAAUACAAUCUACCCUUGGAGAGGAUCUUAGAGCGUGUAUGUGAAUGCGCGUAUGCGUAUGUGUAUAUAUGUGUGUAUGUGAACGCGCAUGCGCAACCGUGUUGGUCAGUUCGCGCGGUUUUCCAAAGAGCCAUCACAUCGCGCGUCUCGAGUUACCGGCAUCGUACGUAAGUACAUAUUCACAUAUGUAAGUAUCUAUGUGUGUGCUCACGUAUAUGUGUGCGCAAUACAAAAGUAGAAGAGAAAGAGAAGUUUCUCGUUCUUUCCGCAUUCUCGACACGCCGCGGUGUUCGCGAGUGUUAAAGCGGACAACGCGUUCGAGUACAAAUGCAGCUGGGCUCGUCUCUUUAGCUCUUUCCUCUUGCCUCAAGUGCCAACGAGAGGAAAUGAGGAGGAUAAGGAGAGAAUAAGGAAGAAGAGGAAAAGAGAGAAGAAGAGAGGAGGAGGAGGAGGAAGAAGAGGAGGAGGAGGAGGAGGUUGUACUAGACACGGGUGUUACCCAUAGACGAGUUUUUAAAUUCCACGACGUUCCUGUAGGAUUCAGACUCAACUCGGCCACCGCGAACUCUUACCGUACACAGUUAAGGACUCUCCUUGAGUUUGCCUUUUCCAUGUAACCGUCCUCUUAGAAGAGUUACAACUGUCGUUGGAUCGAUGUAAAUUCAAGUUGUUAACAUGUACGAGAGAAAGAAAAUAAUCGAAAGGUGAUUGUGAAAUCGACCAUUUCCUUUAUCUCACAUUCGGUAUAAAUGUACCGGUUGGCCUUGGUAAUAUAGACGACGCCCACC
Molecule: long non-coding RNA, 1163 nt
Organism: Vespa mandarinia (Asian giant hornet)
Lineage: Eukaryota; Metazoa; Arthropoda; Insecta; Hymenoptera; Vespidae
Source: RefSeq, a predicted model, not a curated record